Molecule: ribosomal RNA, 253 nt
Filed under: uncultured bacterium
Lineage: Bacteria
Description: partial 16S ribosomal RNA
Rfam family: Bacterial small subunit ribosomal RNA
Source: RNAcentral
UACGGAGGGUGCAAGCGUUAAUCGGAAUUACUGGGCGUAAAGGGCGCGUAGGCGGCCUUUCAAGUCAGGUGUGAAAGCCCACGGCUCAACCGUGGACGUGCAUCUGAAACUGAGAGGCUUGAGUAUCAGAGGGGAAAGUGGAAUUCCCGGUGUAGAGGUGAAAUUCGUAGAUAUCGGGAGGAAUACCGGUGGCGAAGGCGACUUUCUGGCUGAAUACUGACGCUGAGGCGCGAAAGCGUGGGGAGCAAACAGG